This 767-nucleotide long non-coding RNA is filed under the name Triticum aestivum (bread wheat). Its description in RNAcentral is "long non-coding RNA (TAES_LNC023147)". The record is from RNAcentral. Lineage: Eukaryota; Viridiplantae; Streptophyta; Magnoliopsida; Poales; Poaceae.
CACCGAUUUUGCUGUCCCGACCCUCCUAGGUGCCAGCACCCUGAAGCUGAAAGGGACAAAUGCAUUCAUCACCUGCAGCUCCAGGAAGAUCAAACAAAGAUGUCUGGUCACUAAGAUAAAAUGAGUUGUACUAAACAUGCCAAGGCUUUCAAUCCGCUAUUCAGUUCAUAUAUGUUUCAGUGUGAGCGCACAUGUUUCACUAACUUUUAAUAGAUGAAAACGAAAACAUUGCAUCACUUUGCUUUUGAACGAAACCAAAAAGUAUAUGUCUUCUGCACAGGAAACAACAUACUGCCAUUUAUACUGUCCCCCAAAAAAGGAAAUUGGAUAGUAUCGACCAUUGACUCCUGGUAAAGCAUAGUUAACCAAAUGAUCAUAGCAAUACAACAUCAUUAGCAAAGAACAAAAGUAACGGGCAUGCGCAUGUAGAUCCACACGUCGAAAAAACUUCCAGUGAGCUCACACUUGAUGCAGUUGAACCACGUAACUUCCAAUUCAAAGUGAUUCUACAUGACAUUGCUACUAAAGCCUCUUUUGCUAAAAUAAAUACAUGAUACUGCAUAAUCAUGAGGUAAGCUUAGGCCUGCAACAUUUACCUCGUCCUUGCCGUUGGUGGCGUCCUCCUUCCGCUGCUUCUUCCUCCCCUCCUUGGGUCGGUUCUCCUUCUUCUUCCUGGCCAAGUUCCACCAUGGCGUCCUUGUCGACCUCCUCGUCCAAGGACAGGGAGAUCACCUUGGCAAACCUGGGCUGCCCUUGCGCAGCCUCGC